CUGACUCCAAAAGUGGAAAGAAGAAGCAAUGUCACAGGAAAAUCGGAAAGCGAUUAUACCAGAAAUGGGAUAAGACCAGACAGGAAAAAUACCCCCAACAAAGGAAAGUAAAGAUCAUAUGAGGAAUCCAGUCACUGGUGAACUAGAACAGCAAGGUUAAAAUGAUCAUGUUGCAAGAUGACUGCUGCAGCACCAAGUAUCACAGUGAUCUUCCACUGGAGAGAAGAAGGAGGAGGGAAGAGGCAACAUGCAUAUCAUGGAAGGAUUUGCUUGCCCAAAAACCACAGAAGACUGUAGAAGGAUCACUAACAUGAGCUGCAUAUGCUGGCGGCCCCUCUGCUGUCAUUAUUUUAUGUACUGGAAAACACUGCUAUGGGAAGACAGCCCGGUCAGAUGGGGAUGGCCUGGAAUAGGGGCCAGGUAUCUGUGUCACAGACUAGUACAAGUCUCUUGGCCUCUCUGGGCUUCAGCUUCUUCACCUGCUCAACCAAAGGCAUAACCGAGAGCCUUCUCAGGUCCCUUUCACCUCUACUGCUCUAUGUCAGUAUGAUCGCUUAAAUUAACUCCCUGAUUUUACCUAUAAGGCCCAGGGGCUCCCCGGUCACAGAGCCAGACACAGUUUAGAACCUAGACCUCCUGACUCAGACUGUCCUCUAGGACAGACCAACUUCUUUGCCAAUUACAGAAGAGGAGCAGGGUUCUAUUAUGCUGUUAGCACUUACUUUCUUCGAUUCCAGAGCAUCCUAUUUCACUCCAUUUUUCCAAGAAUGAAGAAUGAGAGCCAGGUCCCAAACCCAGUCCCCAGUGGGCCACUUAACUCCCCUCUCUUCAUGAUUCAGGAGUUAGCCCUGUGACUGGCUGCAGUCUUGCAAAUGCAUGCACUUGGCACAGAAGGGACAGGAGAGAGUGUAAAUGCAUCCUGCAGGCCUACUGGGGCAUCAUGGGAAAAAACCAUUUGGUGUUCACAUGCUAUGGCAGUGGACCUCUGAGUGUAUCAUCGUCUGAGUGGGAGGUGUGCAGCCACCAAGAGGCUUGGCCACACACCAAAGAGGUGUCCUGCCACCUCCCUAUCACCACUGUCACACCAACAAGAACAGUGUAGUGAGCAAUCCACUGAGCCUGGGCCAUGUCUCACCACAGUCAUGUCUAGGGAAAGAGUCAUAGGUGCUCCCGGGUGGUUAAAAAUAAAAGGGUGGCAUUUAGUUCUCAAAUGUGUUUGAAAAAUUAUUUGUUCGCUAGAUUUGAUAAUGCAGACAGAGACUUUGCUACUCUAAAUUCCUUGUGUGUCUCCAGGCAGACUGCGAUGUACUAAGGAGAUUUCCUUCUAUGAGAAUCAGUCACUCACUCAGGGUUAUCCUGCAAUUUGAUGAGGAAAUCCCUUUUAAAAGGCACACCUUAGCUGAAAAAAUGCAUCCUGAAGAAAUGCUGAACUAGAUGAUCCGACUAGAUCAGAGCUUUCCAAACAUUUCUGAACACGACCCACAGUCAGAAACGUGUUUCACCCCAUGACCUGACACAAACACAUCUAUAUGUAAAAAACUGACACAAAGCACUCAGGACACAAAACCAACUCCUACUUUGUGUAAUGUAUCCUGACAGUUGCAUUGUGUUCUGCCCUCUUCUGUUUGAUUCGGUUUCCAUUUUUUUAUGUUUCAUUUUUUAGAGACAGGUCUUGCUCUGUCACCAGGCUGAAGUGCAGUAAUCAUAGCUCACUGCAGCCUCUGAACUUCAAGCCUGAAGCAUCCUCCCACCUCAGGCUCCCGACUAUCUGGGACUACAGGCAUGCAUCACUGUAACCAGCUAAUUGUCUUGGGGACAAGAGUGCCUGUGCUGUCAUCCCCGGUAUCCUUUCACGUCCUCUUUCUGCCAACCCCAGGAUCUCUUGGCAUACAUUUACCUCAGCCACACUCUUCAGUGCUCUGCAUCCAGGCUAGGCAGAGGCUGCCUGUUACAGGAGCCAUGCAUCCCUGAAGACUUGGAAUAAGUCAAGAUUUACAUAAUCCCAGAGAGAUCCUUCCAAAAUGUGAUGGUAACUCUGUUCUGUGGUUGGAGUGGCUCCUCUGGGCGCCAGCAGCAUAAACCCACCUUUCAACUCAGUCUGCAGCUCAGAAACACUACCUGAUUCUAGACAGGUUUUUCAAUGUAAUAGGUAGAAUUAUUAUGUCUUGUACAUAAAUUAAGACUUUACAUUUUUAUACUGCUAUUUAGAAUGCAUAUAAUGCAAAUCCCUGUAGACUAUGGUUACUUUGGGUUUCUGCUUUCCUGAAACUGCUACCCUCUGCAGACAGACUCUAAUACCUAACAGAGCCAGAUGCUUUUACUCAUAUUUGUCCAAAGUCUUGGACUCCCACCCUGAGCCCUAGCCUGGCCCCUCUCAACUUAGUAAAAAUCCAUGAGGAGACCUUGAAGAGAAAGCUAGAGCUUGUUGGGCAGGAACAGGCUCAGAAGGCCAUUUGGCGGUGGUAGACAUAGAACAGAGCUUUGAAGGAUGGGCUAGGCCAGGGGAGACAGAGAAGGGAUAGAGGCUAUGGGGGCCAGCCCAGCGUGCUUCGGGGCCAUUGAUUAGGCAGUCUCAGGUAUGUGCACAAAGGGUUGGAGUAAAGUUUUAGGGCAAACAAUAUUUCUGCAUUCCCUGGGUCUAGGAAUGUUUCCUUCAGACAUCUGUUUUGUCCUCAUUAGAAGGGACAGAGAUGCUGUUUUCUAAAUUUUUGCAUUGCCGGAGCUCAGCACAGUGGCAUAUGGCAGGAACGCAAUAAAAGUUCAUUGAAUGAUUGAGUGAGUGGGUGAGUGAAAGCAUUGCACAGGUUCACAAGAUAUUUGUGCUACUUAAGUGCUUAUUUGUUUUCCAACAU
Long non-coding RNA from Macaca mulatta (Rhesus monkey), 2852 nucleotides. The record is from Ensembl. Lineage: Eukaryota; Metazoa; Chordata; Mammalia; Primates; Cercopithecidae.